GGAAAUGUUAUAAAUAAAAGUACCAGGAGGUUGCUAGUGUUGUUGUAAAAUGUUUGCUUGAAGAAAAUUAAUGACACUUUGUUUAAUAUUUUAUUUACAGCAUUGACAUUCACUGUAGGAUUGUAGGAUGGAAAGUAUAUGGAUGCUGUAGUGCUGUCCUCAUUAAAUGCUGAGAUGCGGGAUGCUGAAGACUGCUGGAGUUUGCAGCUUCACAGAUGAGCUGCUGAAAAUGCAGUGUCACCACCACAUACACACACACACUGUUAUGGAUGCAUGGAGACACAAGAUCUGAGAAAGUUUGUGUGCUUUAAUGGAAGCAAGAAGAUCGGACUAUAAUUUACCUGAUAAUUGUGCCUCUAUCAAUGUGACCUGGAUAGAUCUACAAAGUCUGACGUGGCUAUAAGCUCUUUUACAGCGAAAGCCAAUUUACAGUCUGAUUAAAGCAGAUCUGUCCACCCAACACCUGAAAGAUCUGGCCUGCAUGGACAAAUACCUGAGGACAUUUCAUUAUCCAUGCAGAAAGCGGUGAGAUGUUGGGCAGAUUAAAAUCCUCUGGCUUUCAAAAUAGCUGUUUGAUUCAAGAUUUGCCAAAUGAAUAAAACACUUUACAUAAGCACCAAGCAAAUAAUUGAGAUUACAGAAUAAGAG
Paramisgurnus dabryanus is the source of this 648-nucleotide long non-coding RNA. RefSeq lists it as uncharacterized. The record is from RefSeq and is a predicted model, not a curated record. NCBI's taxonomy places the organism in Eukaryota, Metazoa, Chordata, Actinopteri, Cypriniformes, Cobitidae.